Molecule: small nuclear RNA, 149 nt
Filed under: Microtus ochrogaster (prairie vole)
Lineage: Eukaryota; Metazoa; Chordata; Mammalia; Rodentia; Cricetidae
Description: U1 spliceosomal RNA (ENSMOCG00000003515.1)
Rfam family: U1 spliceosomal RNA
About the family: U1 is a small nuclear RNA (snRNA) component of the spliceosome (involved in pre-mRNA splicing).
Source: RNAcentral
CUACUUACCCGGCAGGAAAGAUGCCAAGAUCAAGAAAGAGGUUUUCACAGGCUGAGGUUCAUCCACUCUGUACUAAUCCCAUGAUUUUCCCAAAUAUGGGAAACAUUAAUUGCACAAUUUGUAGUAAUGAAGACUACAUUCACACUUUC